This 407-nucleotide ribosomal RNA is filed under the name uncultured bacterium. RNAcentral's name for it is "partial 16S ribosomal RNA". It matches the Rfam family "Bacterial small subunit ribosomal RNA", at positions 30 to 526 of the family's 1533-position model. The record is from RNAcentral.
AUUGAACGCUGGCGGCAGGCCUAAUACAUGCAAGUCGAGCGGAGCGGCGGACGGGGGAGGAAUGCCUAGGAAUUUGCCUGGUAGUGGGGGAUAACGUCCGGGAGCGGGCGCUAUUACCGCAUACUUUAAGGUCAGUCUAGGUGGGAUUAGCUAGUUGGAGGGGUAAAGGCUUACCAAGGCGACGAUCCGUAACUGGUCUGAGAGGAUGAUCAGCCACACUGGAACUGAGACACGGUCCAGACUCCUACGGGAGGCAGCAGUGGGGAAUAUUUGGCAAUGGGCGAAAGCCUGACCCAGCCAUGCCGCGUGUGUGAAGAAGGUCUUCGGAUUGUAAAGCACUUUAAGUUGGGAAGCGGUACCAACAGAAUAAGCACCGGCUAACUACGUGCCAGCAGCCGCGGUAAUAC